This 178-nucleotide ribosomal RNA is filed under the name Clavibacter michiganensis. RNAcentral describes it as "partial 23S ribosomal RNA". It matches the Rfam family "Bacterial large subunit ribosomal RNA", at positions 1 to 171 of the family's 2925-position model. The record is from RNAcentral. Lineage: Bacteria; Bacillati; Actinomycetota; Actinomycetes; Micrococcales; Microbacteriaceae.
UUUCAAGAUUCUAAGAGCAAACGGUGGAUGCCUUGGCAUCUGGAGCCGAAGAAGGACGUAUAAAUCUGCGAUAAGCCUCGGGGAGCUGAUAAUAGAGCUUUGAUCCGAGGAUCUCCGAAUGGGGAAACCCCGCCAGGCCCUUUGGGUGACCUGGUGACUCCCGCCUGAAUAUAUAGGG